GACGAACGCUGGCGGCGUGCUUAACACAUGCAAGUCGAACGGAAAGGCCCUGCUUUUGUGGGGUGCUCGAGUGGCGAACGGGUGAGUAACACGUGAGUAACCUGCCCUUGACUUUGGGAUAACUUCAGGAAACUGGGGCUAAUACCGGAUAGGAGCUCCUGCUGCAUGGUGGGGGUUGGAAAGUUUCGGCGGUUGGGGAUGGACUCGCGGCUUAUCAGCUUGUUGGUGGGGUAGUGGCUUACCAAGGCGUUGACGGGUAGCCCGCCUGAGAGGGUGACCGGGCCCAUUGGGACUGCGAUACGGCCCAGACGCCUACGGGAGGCAGCAGUGGGGAAUAUUGCACAAUGGGCGGAAGCCUGAUGCAGCAACGCCGCGUGCGGGAUGACGGCCUUCGGGUUGUAACCCGAUUUCGCCUGUGACGAAGCGUGAGUGACGGUAAUGGGUAAAGAAGCACCGGCUAACUACGUG
RNAcentral lists this ribosomal RNA (468 nucleotides) under uncultured bacterium. RNAcentral describes it as "partial 16S ribosomal RNA". It matches the Rfam family "Bacterial small subunit ribosomal RNA", at positions 28 to 507 of the family's 1533-position model. The record is from RNAcentral.